Molecule: non-coding RNA, 181 nt
Filed under: Syntrophomonadaceae bacterium
Lineage: Bacteria; Bacillati; Bacillota; Clostridia; Eubacteriales; Syntrophomonadaceae
Description: 6S RNA
Rfam family: 6S / SsrS RNA
About the family: E. coli 6S RNA was the first non coding RNA to be sequenced, but its function was unknown until recently. It consists of 184 nucleotides that fold into an extended hairpin structure with a large single-stranded internal bulge.
Source: RNAcentral
UAAAUUCUGAAAUACACGUUUUGCUCUUAUUUUGAACCUACAAAGUUAUUAUGGGAGUCCAAUAAUUGAAGGAAUAUAUCAAGCCCUAUAUAAUGAGGGGAAGAUGGACAACUUCAUGAGGAUGCCCACCUAUCAGGAAUGAUAGGCGUCAAAAUAGAGUGGACGGUAUUUUGGGAUAUAA